CAAGUCGAGCGGACAGAUGGGAGCUUGCUCCCUGAUGUUAGCGGCGGACGGGUGAGUAACACGUGGGUAACCUGCCUGUAAGACUGGGAUAACUCCGGGAAACCGGGGCUAAUACCGGAUGCUUGUUUGAACCGCAUGGUUCAAACAUAAAAGGUGGCUUCGGCUACCACUUACAGAUGGACCCGCGGCGCAUUAGCUAGUUGGUGAGGUAAUGGCUCACCAAGGCAACGAUGCGUAGCCGACCUGAGAGGGUGAUCGGCCACACUGGGACUGAGACACGGCCCAGACUCCUACGGGAGGCAGCAGUAGGGAAUCUUCCGCAAUGGACGAAAGUCUGACGGAGCAACGCCGCGUGAGUGAUGAAGGUUUUCGGAUCGUAAAGCUCUGUUGUUAGGGAAGAACAAGUACCGUUCGAAUAGGGCGGUACCUUGACGGUACCUAACCAGAAAGCCACGGCUAACUACGUGCCAGCAGCCGCGGUAAUACGUAGGUGGCAAGCGUUGUCCGGAAUUAUUGGGCGUAAAGGGCUCGCAGGCGGUUUCUUAAGUCUGAUGUGAAAGCCCCCGGCUCAACCGGGGAGGGUCAUUGGAAACUGGGGAACUUGAGUGCAGAAGAGGAGAGUGGAAUUCCACGUGUAGCGGUGAAAUGCGUAGAGAUGUGGAGGAACACCAGUGGCGAAGGCGACUCUCUGGUCUGUAACUGACGCUGAGGAGC
This 714-nucleotide ribosomal RNA is filed under the name Bacillus spizizenii. Its description in RNAcentral is "bacterial SSU rRNA". It matches the Rfam family "Bacterial small subunit ribosomal RNA", at positions 58 to 754 of the family's 1533-position model. The record is from RNAcentral. Lineage: Bacteria; Bacillati; Bacillota; Bacilli; Caryophanales; Bacillaceae.